RNAcentral lists this long non-coding RNA (10988 nucleotides) under Triticum aestivum (bread wheat). RNAcentral describes it as "long non-coding RNA (TAES_LNC021405)". The stretch from base 9116 to 9241 matches the Rfam family "MIR1120/MIR1122 microRNA precursor family". The record is from RNAcentral. Lineage: Eukaryota; Viridiplantae; Streptophyta; Magnoliopsida; Poales; Poaceae.
UAUUAUCUCUUUUGGAUGCAUUAGUACAUUUUCACAUGGAAGGCAUCCAACUAAUAUCAAAGAGGAAUCAUAACUGGAGCAAUCAUUAAAAAUUAUAUGAAACAUUAGUUGAUGUGUUUUGAUAUACUUGCAUGAAAAAAUAUAAUAAUUUGUUAGUGUAAUACCGCAAGAUAUAAAAAUGACUUAAACCAUGUCUUAUCCGAACUGACCACAUGCAUGACUCACGUUUGACACAAUAUACAAAACUCGGCUCUUUUUCACACAGCCAAUCUUUUCCAUCCAUAAUUCCCAGAUCUAAUGGCUAAGAAUUACACAAAAGAAUUGUUCUUAACUACAAACUCCCCAUCACAAUGUCUCAGGCUCAAGAAAAUUUCCGCUCGGCUCCACAGCCAUACCCUCUCUGCUGACAUUUUCUUUACUCGUAGAGUCUAGUAAUUUAAAAUGUGUAGUUAGGAGUGGGAUGUCAAAGUUUGUUUAAAUUGAUUUUCCUAUCAACAAUAUAACAGUUUUAUGGUAGCAACUCUUCAAAACAAGCGGAAAGAGACUAAAACAUCUCGGUCUGCCUAUGGUGUAAUAUUGUAUAUGUAGCAGAAAGGGCAUUACAAUUCUCAAGCGUGUACGGUGUGUAUAAUUCAUUGCACUGGAGGCAAAAAGUUCGGUGGUGUAUGGUAGAAGGUAGAGUCAGGGCAAAAUACAACAUUAAGCUUUGCUGUCCAUAUCAACAUUACCGGUCUUCAAAAAUUGUGACUGAUUUAUCAGCAUCUCAGAUAUGUCUGCAGACAUGAAACAAAAUUUAGUAUCAAGCAUCAUGAUAGAAGCACAGUAUAUCGUACCUGAAGCUCCACAACCACUUGGAAAAUCAGUCACCUGAAGUUCUAUAGUUAUGAUAGAAGCACAAUGUAUCAUACCUGAAGCAUCAUGAUCGGUGUUUCCGUUAGGAAAGAGAAACUAAAUAAGUAAUGGCAUGGUAUAUAGAAGUUAAGGACAAAAAGUAAUGCUCUACAACCCCUUGAAAAAUCGUGUACCACUAUUCAUAAACUAAAAAAAUGCCGCUGGAAGCAUACUACACCUGAAGGUCAAGAUGAAUGUUCUGACCCUUGGAUUCCAGACGGUGAAUACUGGAAGAAGUAGCAGGGGAUAUCAUCAAUUGCUCAAAAUAAGCAGCAAAAAGGCAGCUAGAAAACAAUUUCAGAUCUUCUCAUAUCAUUGAAGAGAACAAGAGGAAUACUGGAAUUGCCAGUAUCUGUUUCAUAAACAAACAAAAGAAUAAUUCGUAUCGAAGAAUGGAAACCCGUAAUGCCAUAAUGUUUUCCGAUUGGUGUUCUACAACCACUUGGUUUGACUUAAGAUAUGUAUUAUGAAGAUUAUCCAAUAUUUGAAACUGCAAAUAGAAAUAUCAAGGCAAAAUCUUUUAUAUUGUCUCAUAAGAUACAACUGUGUCAUGCAUCUUUUUCAACAUCCUUGAGUAACCUCUUUGUAUUAUUAUGUAGCAAAGCUCCCUACUUUAUAUUAGCCUAACAAAACUAUUGAAGUUGGCUCAUAACAUCCAAAGAAAUCAAGAAAAUAAAUAAAAAUAAUCACAUUAAAAGGAGAUGAGAAAUAUUACCUAAAAUGAUAAAAUAAUAAAUAGAUUGACAUGAAUGGAGAACAAUCUAAUGGGAUCUAUGUUUAUUUGGCUUGCCUAAAACCCGAAUGGUCUACCUUGACAUGACUAUCGACAGUGAAAGAUCAUAUAACCUUACCAAGUGACACGUCUUUAAACGUCGAGCACCUCCUCAACUGAGACACAAUGUUUGUUUUGAUUGCAUAAUGCACGUUCUUCAUUAUAUGCAAAGGCUGCGAGGCACAAUACUUUGAUUGCGUACUGCAUAUUCAGUAAUUAGAUGUUGCAUUGCAUUACCUGGCUGGACUAUAAUCACUGAUCAGAGUUCAUAGCGAUUUUGAAAGUUUUAAAUAGAAUGGCUUGACUCUUAGUCUCGAUAUCUCUACCAGUAGAUUACAUUACAUACAUGCUAGAACUUUCAAUGCGCAGUCAGAUAUGAAUCAUUAUCCUUGCUUAAGAGAAAGAAAAGGCAAUCAAAGACAGAUCAUACUAAAAAUGAAAAGGAAACACAAUGCUAUGAUUGCUGAAACCAUAUUCUUCAGUAAUCAAAUGUGUCCCUACAUGCACAGCAAUUCAAAUAUAAGCAUGAUCAGUGUUCAUAACACAUUACUGCCAUUAGAACGAAGGGUGGAUUGCUCAUAGUUUGGGAAUUGUUCCUCACCUUCAGUCUGAAAUUACGCUACAAAAUUGUUAAAUAUGUCAUUUUUUUAAUAAAAUAUGAAUUGAUCUGAGAAGUUUAGUGACAGAUAUACCGGUCAAUCUUGACCAUUGCCAUGACAAAGCAAAGAUAAUUCUUUCUCACAGAUACAAACGGAAGUAAUUACAAACAUGAAAUAAAAGAGAACCAGCAGUAGCUCAAAGAACAAUAACAGCACAGACAUGUGAACAACCUACAGGCAACACAUCCCAAACAGAGGCCAACGCCACACCUUCGGCACGAACUCUAGAUGUAAAUGAAUUUUAUCUCGAAACAUAAACGAAACAAAUGCUCUCAUCCGGGGACCAGGCGGCCACGGAGGUCUGCGGCUCGACUGCCUCCUCCUUAACAGUGGGUGCCUCCUCGGAACAUAUGAACCUAACUUUGCUUCAUUGAGAAAAUUAGAAAUACCUAGACAUUACGUGACUAUUUGCGGUACCAAAUUAUCAGUCCAACUAACUUAAAAAUUAAAAUUGGUGCAAUACCCUACAUGUUGACAAGACAGUGAAGUCCAAUGAUUAGCUUCAACAUUACUGAAUCGUUAAGAUUGUAAAUGAUGGCCUUCUUGCUCAUUGUUUCGCUGAUUAGAAAUCUGCAAUAGGACGUAAAUAGUUUAACGGAGAAGAAAUUUGUUGGAAUAUAUUUGUGAGCUACGGCUGAAAGCUUAUCUAGCUAGUUUCGUCGUGCAUGCUAGUCUCCAAAAAUCAAUCAACAUGCCUGCUUCCAAGCACUUGUAUAUGCAUGUUGCUAUGGACGAAAGCACUUUGGAUGUACACCAUUCACAAAUUACUAUCAGAACUAAAUCUGUUUGGAUCUAAAAAUCAACUCUAAAAUUAGUGAAGAGACCUCGUGAGGUUAAUAUUUCACUUAUUCAGAUUAACUCUAAAAAUCAGCUAGAUUGAUUUGCACAGCAAAUUGCAAACAAGUUACCCAGAUCAAUCAAUAGGCGUAGAAGGUUGUGGCCAGAUCGAUUCAUCAGUUUUUUUUAUGUUCUAGUAGGAUGUGGUCAAAUAGAUUCAUCACAAAAUAAACUCCAUUGCAAAAAGGCGCACUCAAACCAACAAAAACAUGAACGGGACUGAGUCUAAUUACUAAGUUGUAGCAAAUGCACGUGUGGAGCGGACAGGCAGCUAGAGACGAUGAGCAGCCGACGAAGACCUAUUCAGUUUUUGCUAUAACAAAAUGCACACAUAACAAAUUGAAACAAUCAUUAGCCAGCAAGAAAAUACGGAGUCUCUUUUACCCCUAAUCUCAAACUAUCAUAAAAAUUGGUACAAACCUGAAACAAAUUUUUGCUUCACUUCUUGUAGGCAUUAUAACAAACACUGGGCAGAAAACAUACGGAAGUGAUUGCUGUGCUGGUGCCCAUGGCGGAGGGUCACAGCAGGCUAGUUGUGCAGAUGAAUGGCGAAAGUCACACUGGAAUCUGCAAUUGCGCAAUUUCAUUCAAAUCAUGACAUGGAAUGAAUAUUGACAUCGACACACCAUCAACGGACAAAGUACCUUCACAAGGGGACGGGAUGGCGUCCUGACAUCCGGUUGAUUGAGUAGGUCGACGGCUGCAGCAUCUAGAUGGGCCGUGGAAAGGGGGGACUCUGCUGGCCAACAUGCGUGGGUGGCGAUGAAGCGGGCAAACAGGGUGGAGCAGUAGGACGAAGGAGGGCCAUGGCUGUGGACAAACGGCUCAGGAUCUGGCCAUCCCAUCUCUAGGUGAGAUCUCUCCAUCCACCACCACCAGAGGGGCUUGACAAGGAGGGGACGACAGGGUUGGAUUGGGAGAUGGCGGGGCGCCGCAGAGAGCGACCGGAGUGGGCGGAUGGCAGGCUGCGGCCCGGCCACCCUGCAGCGGAGGUGCCGCUCGACCGUCGGGGGCGCCGCAGCCCGGUGAAGUGGCGGCCGUCGGUGGUGAAGCAACCAUGGUGUGUGGUGGGUGGCUCCGGAUUAGCGCUCGGGGCGACGGUCGUGCGGGGCUCGUGGCCUUCCCCGCCAUCCUCCAGCUCGCGCACCGUAGCCGCGCAGUAGUGGGCGCCUCGGCAUCGGCCCUCUUCACCUCCGCGGUCGGCAGCUGGAUGACGAGAGGGCGCGGCGGCAGCUGGGCCUCAUCGGAUGAUGCUUCCUGCGCCUCCGCCCAUCUCCCCGACGGUGCCGAUGACGGCGAGGAGGAGCGCCCGUAGAAACAGGGCGGCGCCGCGGUGGCGCGCCAUGUUCGCUGGUGGCACGGGCGGGGUCGUUGGAGGGGAAGGGGGCAAAGUGGGGCGUGGGAGCAAUGAGUGGGGCGUGCGGAGUGGGUGGUUUCCUUUGGGGAGUGGGCGCAGCGGGAGAUGUGGGACGGGACGCACAUUGCUAAUUGCAAUAUCGUUUCGUUAACAGCGUUUCGUUGGUGCGCUUUAGAACCAUUAGAUUACUAAUCAGACGGUUAAUAUUCUAGUUGGAUCUGCCUUUUUUUUCCUUUUAUAGGAUAAUGGCAUGGUGGGUAAUUAAAGUAUAAAACGCGUUUAGUACACUUGAGGGAUGUAGACCAUCAGAUUGCAGGUUUCGAUGGAUAGGAUGAUUUGGUUCUCCGCCCUCUCGGCCUUUUAUAGUGGUAGUAGAUGAAUCACUCAAUGACCUAUGUGUCAUAUUUCACUUACCAUAUUGUUUGCUAAACUAUUGUAGGCGGAGACUUGCAACAAUUAUGGUGAAGCUCAAGUUUGCUGAACACCUUAAAGAGGCUGUCACCUACAUUGAACAGGGCCAUGUGCGUGUAGGCCCAGAGACGGUCACCGAUCCUGCCUUCCUUGUGACCAGGAACAUGGAGGACUUCAUCACCUGGGUGGAUUCCUCAAAGAUCAAGAAGAAGAUCAUGGAGUAUAAUGGUGCAUUGGAUGAUUAUGAUGCCAUGAUUUAAGGAUAUGUCCUGAUAGUAGAAAUUUUGGGAACAUCAGUGAUUCAGUGUAGCUACUCCUGUAAUAUUUUUUAAACCUGAAUCUGAGGCUACAAUAUGUUGAGGUAGUUAUCUGUUGCAAAGCUACUUGUGUGAUGAAAGCUAAACUGCUAUAGAAUGCAAAUGCCAUAAUCAGUUCAUACUUGUCCCCCUUCCGCUUUCCCUUGCACAUGCUGAUGCAGUAUCAUACAUAAAUUUUGAUGUUCAGCUGAAUAUGUACAAUGUGCGUUCUACUCUGCAAGUUGAUUGAAUUGCUUGUUGCUAACAAAUUGAGCUCUGUGGUAAAAGCAUGUUGUGUAAUUCCCUGCAUCUUCCUGUCUAUGAAUUACUAUGGUAUAUGUAGCUGGACUUCUGAUGAAUUGCUGAUAAGAAGUAUCAUAAGUUGUGGUGCUGCUCUUUGAUGAAUGAAGAAGCAAAUUUGGACAAUAAGCUGGGAACCCAGGAAUAAAUUAACGCAAAAGACUAGCUAGUUUCUCCUAUUUACUGCUUGGUUUUACAACAAGCGUACAUGUGUAUUGGCUAGGAUGGCGGGGAUUGCUUAGCUCUCUAUGGUUUGAAGAUGUACCCCCAGAAUUAGCUCCAUUUUUGCUUGAUGAUGCAACUCUUAUCACAAGUUAAUAAAAGACGUUGCUUGAUGUAAAGAAAAGUUAUCACGGAGCUGAUGAAACAAAUCACUGGGAAAUUCUUAUGUCUGAAUUACAGCAAGAGCAGUGUCCUUCUAGCGAUAUGAAGAAGCAGCCUUGUUUUGUUGUUGUUGAUGGAGCCUAAACUCAACUUGGUUUCAUUGAACAUGAACAGCCAUAUUGUUUCCUUUUUCUCUGAGUUUUUAUGGUAUAAAUUUUACAAUCUGCUGCUGUCAUGCAUGAUGUGAAAACUGAACAACAGCAGGUUCUUGACAGGUGCUCAUCUAUGUAGUUCGUUGGGUCGUUACCAAAUUGAAAGGCCAAAUGUUUAUUCAUCCAAACUGAAAGUAAACAGGUGACGAGUGCAGUCUCAUACUUCAACAACAAUGAGUGACGUGCUCGCGACCUCAAUAUAGCAUCAGAUCUUUAUAAACACAAUUUAAUCAUAGCAUAACCGCAAGCCUUUUUAUACAUGAAGCCUUUGUUCUCUCGGCAGCAAAUUAAUCUUUGCAUCAUCUUGCUUAUGGAGCCCAACCACUGCAGUUGUUUCCCGUGAAUGUGCGCAUGCACACUGAAUCGCUGGUACUCGAGGAGGAAGAACUGGAGGUUGCAUUUGGUUCCAACUUGGUAGCAACAUACCGUGCUUAUUUAUUUCCCAUGAGAAUAGGUACCAAUUCCGUUGGAUCAAAUUCAGGCUCUUUCUCUUCUCCGUCAGCGGGCAGUUCUUGCUCCUCCUAUAAGCAAGCGCGGAAAUGCAGGCUGCGGAAUCGAACAGCAAGAAGAGAUUAAAAUUCAGAUAUAUUAGGAAAGAGCAACCAAACCGGAGUCUAUAUGCUAAUUAUUACCUGCACAUUUGUUUCAAUGCUGAAAGGUUCCCUUGUGUACAAUACGUGCCAUUUCUUGUCAUCCCAGCAAUCACUGUCUGCAUAAGCCUCAACAUGCUGGAUAUGGCUAAACUUGUCCCACUCGCUGCCAGAUUUUCCUGCGGCCAUGAAACCAAGUAUCUCCAGACCGCAAUCCACCAGCAAAUGGCUUGGAUUUACAGUUUGAAGGUACAAGGGGAGUCCCAUCUUGUUGGGCGAGAGUCGGAAUCUUUCACCGUAGCCGGGAACUGUCAGCACAAGUCUCCGUAGUGCACUCAUUUCCUCUAGUGAGGUGAGCUCGGGGCAAGACUUGAUCUCAAGCUUUUGCAAUUCAGGGAAAUUGGAGAUACUAAUCAGCUUGGGUAAGUCAUACAGGUCGAGCUCAACAACAGAAGCAAAGUUCUCUAGCGAAUGGAGACGCCACAUGCUCCACAAGGUUAACUUUUUCAAAGCCUUUGCAUGUGAGGCAAGACCGGGAGGGAUACACUUCAAAUUACACCUUGUGAAAGUAAGCUCAACCAAGACUGGCAUAGCUUGCACUUCCUCCUCCCACUCCCACUCCUCCAAUUCCACGAAUUCUAAUAAAUCCAUCUCACGCAGCCUCGGAAAUGCAGUCACCAUGUGGGAUGAAGGAUAGCAACGGUGGCUUUGGGGGCGCACAAAUUCUGGCCCAAUGCACUUGAUCGCUGGAGCACGGUUGACUUGCAGGUAGUCCAGCAAUGGGAGCUGACAUAAUCCAUCAGGAAGUUGGAUGCAACAAGCCAAAUCUUCCAUCACUAGUGUCCUCAAGCUAUUGAGGCGCAUUGUUGCUGUCGACAUCAUCCAUCUUGGCAGCUGGCGCCCGAUAUAUCCUUCAACGGAAAUAAUUUCUAUGCACGGAGGAGGAGAUAGCUCAUUAAACACCUCCUCAAUUACUCCUUGAUUAUUCUUACAUGCAAUGCUGGAUAAUAAGCGCAUCCUAGAAAGAUGCACUUUUUGAUCAAGCCUAACCUUUGUGACAAAUGAAGCAUCAGAUACAUUCCCCAGGCCCACUAAUCCAAUGCCCCUAAGCUGGGAAAGAGGUCCAAGCUCUUCCAAGCUACACCAAUCACCAUCCAUGUGUACUUGGAAACCAGAUAGUGUCCUCAAAUUUGUUAGAGCAUGGAAACCCCUAGGAAUACUAUAUAUACCUGUGCCUUCAAGUUGAAGAUAUCUUAGUUCCGUUAACUUCACAAUGCUAUCAGGAAGUUUCACAAGAUUCUCACAACCUUCAAGACUAAUGUGUUGUAAGAACUUCAUUUUGUGAAUGUUCUCUGGCAAGCAAUCUAUAUCAGCGCAUCUAUCCAUUGACAAAUACCUCAAGUGUUUGAGAUGAUAUAGAGAUUCAACCAUUGUGGCGAACUCUGCAGACUCUACGUGUAGAGUCCGCAGACUUGAAAAGGUAACCAAGGAAUCACCAGACUGAACCUUGAAGUUUCCAAUUAACAUUAACGAUCUUAGAGAUAUUUGCCCUUGUAAACUUCUCCACUCAAAUUCAUCCGAUUCCAAUCCAUUAGUCUCUAUAGACAACCGGAGAAACUUUUGCAAAUGAAGUUUACUAUUAACAGUUUCUCCAUUAUGAGCUACUAGUGCUUCAUUUCUUGUCAUGAAUUGAGCAAAUGAACGAAUAACAUCAUGCAUCUUGCAAACAUAGUGACUGGCAUAUGAUGUAUCCGACUCUAUAAGGUUCCUCAACCUCAACUCUGUAUGGUACUCAGUUCCUAUUUCUUCCAAUAUAUCCGAGUUUCCAUGAACAAAUCCUUCACCAAUCCACAUGUUGAUGAAUUGUGUAUCAUCUAAAAUCAUCUUUUUAGGCUUAAGGGAGAAGUGCAGAAAGCAUUGCUUUAAACAAGGGGACAAGUCCUCAUAGCUAAGAUAUAUGGCAUGAUUUAGCUCUUCUGGCAUUUGAGAUAUUGACCAUACAGCAUCAUUCAAUACCUUCUCCCAAUCACGUCGGGUUUUUUCCUUAUGGCAUAGGAGUCCUCCCAUCACUUUUAUGGCAAGUGAUAACCCAUCACAUUUUUCUACAAUUUGCAUUCCAAUAUCCUUCAGCAUAUCCACUGCAGGUUCGCUUUUCUUGGUCAUGAGUACCUUCAAACAAUUGAGAAUUAAUACGGUACACACAUUAAUUGAGUACCUAUAGUCCAGUCUACUAGAUAAAUUAAGUUGUCAGUAAGUGUAGAAUAAUCCAUUCAAUAAUACAGUAAUUAGUUUGAUGCUUUGCUCAUGAAGGCAUCUGGAUGGAUCGAUGUCCAUGUCUUUCUAUUUGACACACAAAUUAUCUAAUUACCUAGCUAGUUACUCUCAACACAAUCUACGAAUCAGACAUAAACAAUAAGCCAACAAGCAUAUGCAUGUGUCUCAGUAGUCUAGAAUGACCAAUUAGCGCACAUACUCCCUCCGUCCGAAAAAGCUUGUCCCUCAAAUGGAUGUAUAUAGCACCAAAUUAGUGCUAGAUACAUUCAUUUGAAAAACAAGUUUGGGACAAGUUUUUUCGGAUGGAGGGAGUACCAUUUAAAGGCAGUGCUUACAAUAUGUGGUGAUGAUCAAUAUAAAAGUAUAUGUCAGUUUUAUAGUUGUGGAUCGUACUGCGUACAAGCAGUUGGUGUGGACGCUUGGUCUAUGUGUCUAUUCAUAACGAGCACUAGUGUACUAGUAGUAAUGUUAAUGAAACAACAGUGGUCAUAUAGAAUGACGCACCAAAAAGAUGAAGCACGUACUUAAGGCAGCAAGCACGGAGAGUACAACAAAAAAUAUUGCCACUUCCCGUGUUAAUAGAGAUGCAAAUUGGAACCUAAAGGGUACCCUCCGACCCUCCUAGGUUCAACUAAAUAAACUAAAUUUUCAGAAUUCACAUCAUUUUUGAAAAUGUAAUUCAUUUGGUUGAACUAAGGAGGGCUGGAGGGUACCCUAAAGGUACCAAAUUUGCACUCCUACGUGUCAAUAAAUGAACAUAUUACUUGAGAUAGGACGGAGGCUACCAGUAGUUAUGUACUCACUUGCUUCGUGAGCAAUGACCAGCCAUCUUUGGGCCCUAAUUUGUUGAUGCGGUGGUAUGGAUUUACUGCUUUCAUUCCUCGGGCAACAGUUUCAUGUCUUGUGGUGACGAGGACUCGGCUACCCGGGGCACUGUGGCUAAUGGGAGCCCUAAGCAAGUUGGUCCAUUCAUAGGUGCCCCACAUGUCAUCCAACACAAGAAAUAGCUUCUUAUCUUUGAUAGCACUCGCAAGAGCCGGCACAAGCAAAGUUUUGUCUUGAGAUCCACCCCCAGGUCCUGGCAAAUUUCCUUCGGCGGUAGUGAUGGCUGUCCUCAAUAAGUCAACCUCGCUGAAUUCUUGUGUAAUACUUAACCAUAUUUUCUUGGUGAACUUGCCUUGUAUUGCUUCGUCGUUAAAGACUUUCUUGCUAAGGGUGGUCUUACCAAUCCCGCCAACACCAACGAUGGCGAACACCAUGAUGCUUUCACUCGUGUCAACUUCCUUCGUGAGCAGCUGAACAAGUGAUCUCGUGUCAUCUUCAAUCUUCUCCCCAACCACGCCCGACCGCUCCAACAAAGGAUUAGUCUUGCGGUCAAUACCAUGAGGCCGAUUUGUCUUCUGGUCCUGGUAGACUUCGAGCUUGAUGAAAUUGAAACUACGACCCCUCUUGCUGAUGUUAUCCAACUCCUUGUUCAGUGCCUUGAUGCGGCUGCCGAUGUCGUGUGCAUGGAGAGGAUUUUGCAUGCAUGAGAACAAGGGGUUAAGACACCCUAUGUCCUUGGAUGGACUUUGCUCCAUGGCCUUGAGCUGACACAGAUCGAUGAUGUCGGUAGCGUGGUACAUGGCAUGCUUCAGUUCCUCCACCCACCCCCGGACACUCUCGUCAGUGAUGUUUCUUCUAUCGGCGUCAGCAAGGAAAUUCUUGAGGUCCCCAAGCUUGAUGGUCAGAUCGGCGAUCGCGCUGGAGAUCCCGAUCAGCAUGGCCACCUCUUCUCUAGCCAUGUCGGCGAUCAUCUUGGUCACGUAAGAUGCCAAGGCAUUCAGAACCCCUGUCAUUAGUUGCUUGAGCUGCUGCUGAAAACAUGCAGUCGAACAAAAUUAGCCUUGUACACCAACAACCCCAUGCUAAAAGAUUGGUUCAUUGUCACCACAGAAAAAUAAGGGGAUAAUCUAGAGACAAGGAAAAAUUUAAUGGAAAAAGGGGCUUGCAAACAAGAAGACAACGCUAUGCACACAAAAUCUGACCAAGAAUGAGUAUCACUGGUAUGGCGCUGCUAGAAGGA